This 75-nucleotide transfer RNA is filed under the name Candidatus Thorarchaeota archaeon. RNAcentral describes it as "tRNA-Ile". It matches the Rfam family "tRNA". Rfam says of the family: Transfer RNA (tRNA) molecules are approximately 80 nucleotides in length. RNAcentral also lists the same sequence under 1 other name. Lineage: Archaea; Promethearchaeati; Candidatus Thorarchaeota. The record is from RNAcentral.
GGGCCUGUAGCUCAGUCGGUUAGAGCGCACGGCUGAUAACCGUGAGGUUCGCCAGUUCAAAUCUGGCCAGGCCCA